Molecule: ribosomal RNA, 254 nt
Filed under: uncultured bacterium
Lineage: Bacteria
Description: partial 16S ribosomal RNA
Rfam family: Bacterial small subunit ribosomal RNA
Source: RNAcentral
UACGGGUAGGGCAAGCGUUGUCCGGAAUCAUUGGGCGUAAAGAGCGCGUAGGCGGCCCAGUAAGUCCGCUCUGAAAGUCAGGGGCUCAACCCCUGGAUGCGGGUGGAUACUGCUGGGCUAGAGUCCGGAAGAGGCGAGUGGAAUUCCUGGUGUAGCAGUGAAAUGCGUAGAUAUCAGGAGGAAUACCGAUGGCGAAGGCAGGUCUCUGGGCUGAUACUGACGCUCAUGCACGAAAGGCGUGGGGAGCAAACAGG